RNAcentral lists this ribosomal RNA (420 nucleotides) under uncultured bacterium. RNAcentral describes it as "bacterial SSU rRNA". It matches the Rfam family "Bacterial small subunit ribosomal RNA", at positions 356 to 773 of the family's 1533-position model. The record is from RNAcentral.
GAGGAAUAUUGGUCAAUGGGUGCAAGCCUGAACCAGCCAUCCCGCGUGAAGGACGACUGCCCUAUGGGUUGUAAACUUCUUUUGUAUAGGGAUAAACCUUUCCACGUGUGGAAAGCUGAACGUACUAUACGAAUAAGCACCGGCUAACUCCGUGCCAGCAGCCGCGGUAAUACGGAGGGUGCAAGCGUUAUCCGGAUUUAUUGGGUUUAAAGGGUCCGUAGGCGGACUUAUAAGUCAGUGGUGAAAGCCUGUCGCUUAACGAUAGAACUGCCAUCGAUACUGUAAGUCUUGAGUAUAUUUGAGGUAGCUGGAAUAAGUAGUGUAGCGGUGAAAUGCAUAGAUAUUACUUAGAACACCAAUUGCGAAGGCAGGUUACCAAGAUAUAACUGACGCUGAGGGACGAAAGCGUGGGGAGCGAAC